RNAcentral lists this long non-coding RNA (995 nucleotides) under Homo sapiens (human). RNAcentral's name for it is "non-protein coding PSMG3-AS1:18". The record is from RNAcentral. Lineage: Eukaryota; Metazoa; Chordata; Mammalia; Primates; Hominidae.
CUUCCAGGAGAGAACGGAGAGCCAGUGUGCUGUGUGUCACGGUCCCUGGAUGAACGUUUGUGGAACUGGAUUGAAUUAAACAAGACGUGCAAAGCAAGUGGUUCACGAGAUUCGAUUGCUGUAGGGACCCCGUGGGUGUGGAAUCAGACAGUAUUGGUCCUUUCAUGACUGGCUUAUUUCACAAAACCCGAUGCCGUCGAGGUCCAUCCAUGCUGAGCCAUCAUCCGCUGGUGCUUUAAGGGACUCUCUCCCGUCCCCACCCUAUUCUCAGGUGGCUCCUACCGACACCACCUAAUGGUGAACCCCAACACGAGGACACAGGCAGUGCCCUCUCAGGACCACUGUGGGUGCCACCAGGCACGACUUCCUAAACACCCACAGAGCAAAAACCUGGAAAUUCAGCCGAGGCACUGGGACCCCAACCUCUCCCAGAGUGGCCCCAGCUCCACGGCGUCUGCAUGGCUCUGGCCGUGAGCAGAGCAGCCCCGACCUCCGUCCUGACCCAGGGCGCCGGAGCGCCACUGCGGAUCUCACCACCACACAAGCCAGACCUGCUAGGAAGCCCUUCCCGGCCACCAGCUCUCGGGCGAUGCACACAACAGGGCCUUUUGAAUUCCCUGAGGUUAAGGUUCCCCUUGAGUCUCCUGGGCUACAAGCAAAUCCCCCGAGGGGAGAAGUCCAGGCUGACACAGCCUCCUGCACCCCUGCCUUGGGAGGCCACACCUCGUUUGCCUCUAGAACCGACGACUGGGGAGCACUGUUUGCAGAGUUCUCUCUCUCUGGGUAAGUUCCGGAGCCACAUCUCACUGGAUCCACCACGGCCUGGGUGGACGGCUCUCGUGUGUUUAUAGCUGGGUCCCUCGCUUGGGAGCUGCCUCCGGGUGGGCGGCCUCUCCAGCCUGUUUGAGUGCUCCACCCGGAGCAGGAAGAGGGCCGUGUGCUCUGGGCAGUGGUUCCUUGGGCACUGCAUGGUCCUUGCUUCCCUCCAGGGCCCA